Non-coding RNA from Paramuricea clavata, 287 nucleotides. Lineage: Eukaryota; Metazoa; Cnidaria; Anthozoa; Malacalcyonacea; Plexauridae. The record is from the annotation of a GenBank genome assembly.
AUUAGAUGCGCGUGCGUGUUCGAUUUCCCUUGAAAAUAUGAUGACAAAAUCUAGAUUGUUAGGUUUAUGUGAAGUGUUCUUCGAAGAAGGUUGCUUUUAGCGCUCAACAUGACUUUGUGGGAACAACUGCAGUCGCUACAAGGCGAAGACCAAGCCAAGAUCGGCGAGCUUCUAGGCAAAUAUUCAUUAGAGCUCGAAGUUCAAUCCCAUCUGGCCGCUUGGCUCGAACACCAGCCUUGGUAAGUGAUUUUACACAAUUGUCAAUUCCCUUGGGGACUACGUGAUGC